Molecule: ribosomal RNA, 346 nt
Filed under: uncultured bacterium
Lineage: Bacteria
Description: bacterial SSU rRNA
Rfam family: Bacterial small subunit ribosomal RNA
Source: RNAcentral
GGGCCCGCACAAGCGGUGGAGUAUGUGGUUUAAUUCGAUGCAACGCGAAGAACCUUACCAGGUUUGACAUCCUGGAAUUUCUGGGAAACCGGAAAGUGCCUUCGGGAACGCAGUGACAGGUGGUGCAUGGCUGUCGUCAGCUCGUGUCGUGAGAUGUUGGUUAAGUCCCGCAACGAGCGCAACCCACGUCGUUAGUUGCCAGCAUUUAGUUGGGCACUCUAGCGAGACCGCCGGUGAUAAACCGGAGGAAGGUGUGGAUGACGUCAAGUCAUCAUGCCCCUUACAUCCUGGGCUACACACGUACUACAAUGCUACGGACAAAGGGCAGCAAACUCGCGAGAGCUAG